Molecule: non-coding RNA, 30 nt
Filed under: Homo sapiens (human)
Lineage: Eukaryota; Metazoa; Chordata; Mammalia; Primates; Hominidae
Source: RNAcentral
UCGGAUCACACCUGGGCUUGGAGAAUCAGU